This 72-nucleotide transfer RNA is filed under the name Coprothermobacter proteolyticus DSM 5265. It matches the Rfam family "tRNA". Rfam says of the family: Transfer RNA (tRNA) molecules are approximately 80 nucleotides in length. Lineage: Bacteria; Pseudomonadati; Coprothermobacterota; Coprothermobacteria; Coprothermobacterales; Coprothermobacteraceae. The record is from Rfam by way of RNAcentral.
CGGGGCGUAGCGCAGUGGUAGCGCACUCGUUUGGGGUGCGAGUGGUCGGCGGUUCGAGUCCGCCCGCCCCGA